UAGCAUAUCAAUAAGCGGAGGAAAAGAAACCAACAGGGAUUGCCCUAGUAACGGCGAGUGAAGCGGCAACAGCUCAAAUUUGAAAUCUGGCUUCGGCCCGAGUUGUAAUUUGUAGAGGAAGCUUUUGGCGAGGCACCUUCUGAGUCCCCUGGAACGGGGCGCCAUAGAGGGUGAGAGCCCCGUAUAGUUGGAUGCCUCCGCCUCUGUAAAGCUCCUUCGACGAGUCGAGUAGUUUGGGAAUGCUGCUCAAAAUGGGAGGUAAAUUUCUUCUAAAGCUAAAUACCGGCCAGAGACCGAUAGCGCACAAGUAGAGUGAUCGAAAGAUGAAAAGCACUUUGAAAAGAGGGUUAAACAGCACGUGAAAUUGUUGAAAGGGAAGCGCUUGUGACCAGACUUGCGCCGGGCUGAUCAUCCGGUGUUCUCACCGGUGCACUCUGCCCGGCUCAGGCCAGCAUCGGUUCUCGCGGGGGGAUAAAGGCUCGGGGAACGUAUCUCCUCCGGGAGUGUUAUAGCCCCGGGUGUAACGCCCUCGCGGGGACCGAGGUUCGCGCAUCUGCAAGGAUGCUGGCGUAAUGGUCACCAGCGACCCGUCUUGAAACACGGACCAAGGAGUCAAGGUUUUGCGCGAGUGUUUGGGUGUUAAACCCGCACGCGUAAUGAAAGUGAACGUAGGUGAGAGCUUCGGCGCAUCAUCGACCGAUCCUGAUGUAUUCGGAUGGAUUUGAGUAGGAGCGUUAAGCCUUGGACCCGAAAGAUGGUGAACUAUGCUUGGAUAGGGUGAAGCCAGAGGAAACUCUGGUGGAGGCUCGCAGCGGUUCUGACGUGCAAAUCGAUCGUCAAAUCUGAGCAUGGGGGCGAAAGACUAAUCGAACCAUCUAGUAGCUGGUU
This 888-nucleotide ribosomal RNA is filed under the name Chaetomium microascoides. RNAcentral describes it as "LSU rRNA". It matches the Rfam family "Eukaryotic large subunit ribosomal RNA", at positions 36 to 956 of the family's 3401-position model. Lineage: Eukaryota; Fungi; Ascomycota; Sordariomycetes; Sordariales; Chaetomiaceae. The record is from RNAcentral.